This is a long non-coding RNA of Gadus macrocephalus (Pacific cod), 197 nucleotides long. RefSeq lists it as uncharacterized. The record is from RefSeq and is a predicted model, not a curated record. Lineage: Eukaryota; Metazoa; Chordata; Actinopteri; Gadiformes; Gadidae. The transcript is spliced from 2 exons.
GAGGGUCCCAGGUACUAGGGAGUGGUAGUAUUAAGACUAGUAUAGAGGGUACUAGGGAGGAGUUGUAUUAAGACUAGUAGGGUCUCGGGUACUAGGGAGUGGUGGCAUUAAGAGACUAGUAUUGAUGGUACCAGGGGGUGGUAGUAUUUAGACUAGCAGGGACGGGGGUCAUAUGCAGGGUACCCCGAUCCGGACCG